RNAcentral lists this long non-coding RNA (674 nucleotides) under Monodelphis domestica (gray short-tailed opossum). RNAcentral describes it as "lncRNA (ENSMODG00000048015.1)". The record is from RNAcentral. Lineage: Eukaryota; Metazoa; Chordata; Mammalia; Didelphimorphia; Didelphidae.
GGCAGUAGGUAUCAGCUGUGCAGUCCUUCUGACCCCAAAGUUUCUAAUCUCUCUGGUCUUUAUUUCUCACUCCUACCUAAGGGACCUUCGGCCCCUGGUCUGAGCCUUUGGGGCUCUUCUCCCCCCCCAUAGGCUCUAACAGAUCUGGCGCCUGGAUCAGGGACCUGAAGGUCACCUUUACAUCUGAGGAGAGGAACGGCAUUUAAUGGAGGAUACAAAUGUAUAAAUCUAAGAAUACAUGCACAUCAGACUCAGCUGCAAGAGUGUUGGAUUCUUUGAAGUACCAGUGUCACCAACUCAGUGAGGGGUAUGAAAACACCAUGGGGAACAAAGGAGAAGCCGAGACUCAGACUUUAGGUUAUGUAUCUGUACUUAAUGGCUAAAGAAAAAGAAAGAAAGAAAGCAAAAAAAGAAUUAAAGAAACAAAGACACAAAGAAAAAGAAAAAAGAAAGAAACAAAGAGUGGAAGGAAGAAAGAAGAAAUGGAAAGGAAAGAAAGACUGCAAUGUCCUGAACACCUAGUGAUUAAAUUAACAAUGAAAUUCCAGAACAAUUUUUGCAUGUUCACAGACAAAAGAUUUCUAAAUUCAAGGAAAGGGACAUUUUCAAAACAUAAGAAUAUUCUACACUAGUCAGAAAAUAAAGGAAUGAAUAGAAUAAUGUGUUUUAAAGAU